ACCUACGGGGCGCAGCAGUGGGGAAUAUUGCACAAUGGGGGAAACCCUGAUGCAGCGACGCCGCGUGAAGGAAGAAGUAUUUCGGUAUGUAAACUUCUAUCAGCAGGGAAGAAAAUGACGGUACCUGACUAAGAAGCCCCGGCUAACUACGUGCCAGCAGCCGCGGUAAUACGUAGGGGGCAAGCGUUAUCCGGAUUUACUGGGUGUAAAGGGAGCGUAGGCGGCGAUGCAAGUCAGAAGUGAAAGCCCGGGCCCAACCCCGGAACUGCAUUGGAAACUGUUUAUCUAGAGUGUCGGAGAGGCAA
This 305-nucleotide ribosomal RNA is filed under the name uncultured bacterium. Its description in RNAcentral is "bacterial SSU rRNA". It matches the Rfam family "Bacterial small subunit ribosomal RNA", at positions 337 to 660 of the family's 1533-position model. The record is from RNAcentral.